AUCGUUAUAAUACUCGCCCUCAACAUGAUCUCAACCAGAACCCUCUGUCUCACGCGCUCCCUCCCCCUUCUCCGCCUCCUCCCUCUCUCCCACAAACUCCCCUCCAAGUCACUCCCCUGUCCCCUCUACUCCGCCUCCCUCUCCUUCUGCCUCCACCGCCCCCCUAAAUCCACCAGCGCCGCCGCUAUGUCUACCGCCGCCGCCGCCGCCGCUGCCGGCGCCAGCGUCAACCCCCUCCUCCAGGACUUCGCCUUCCCGCCGUUUGAUGUCGUCGACGCCGAUCACGUCCGCCCGGGCAUCCGGGAGUUGCUCAAGAGACUGGAGAGCGAUCUAGAGGAGCUGGAGCGGACUGUGGAACCGUCGUGGCCGAAGCUGGUGGAGCCGCUGGAGCGGAUCAUGGACCGGCUGACGGUUGUUUGGGGGAUCGUCAACCAUCUCAAGGCGGUUAAGG
RNAcentral lists this unclassified non-coding RNA (451 nucleotides) under Hevea brasiliensis (rubber tree). The record is from RNAcentral. Lineage: Eukaryota; Viridiplantae; Streptophyta; Magnoliopsida; Malpighiales; Euphorbiaceae.